RNAcentral lists this ribosomal RNA (459 nucleotides) under uncultured bacterium. RNAcentral's name for it is "partial 16S ribosomal RNA". It matches the Rfam family "Bacterial small subunit ribosomal RNA", at positions 338 to 795 of the family's 1533-position model. The record is from RNAcentral.
CCUACGGGUGGCUGCAGUGAGGAAUAUUGGUCAAUGGGCGCGAGCCUGAACCAGCCAAGUAGCGUGAAGGAUGACUGUCCUACGGGUUGUAAACUUCGUUUAUAAAGGAAUAAAGUGAGUCUGGUGUGCCUUUUUGUAUGUACUUUAUGAAUAAGGAUCGGCUAACUCGGUGCCAGCAGCCGCGGUAAUGCGGAGGAUCCGAUCGGUAUGCGGAUUUAUAGGGUUAAAAGGGUGCGUAGGCGGAAUAUCAAGUCAGCGGUAAAACUUCGGGGCUCAACCCCGUCGUGCCGUUGAAACGGAUGUUCUUGAGUGGGCGAGAGGUAUGCGGAAUGCCUGGUGUAGCGGUGAAAUGCAUAGAUAGCACGCAGAACUCCGAUUGCGAAGGCAGCAAACCGGCGCCCAACUGACGCUGAAGCACGAAAGCGUGGGUAUCGAACAGGAUUAGAUACCCGAGUAGUC